RNAcentral lists this ribosomal RNA (222 nucleotides) under uncultured bacterium. Its description in RNAcentral is "partial 16S ribosomal RNA". It matches the Rfam family "Bacterial small subunit ribosomal RNA", at positions 121 to 334 of the family's 1533-position model. The record is from RNAcentral.
UAAAUCUACCCCAGAGUCUGGAAUAACCGGCCGAAAGGCUGGCUAAUACUGGAUAGAGCGACGGAAUCCGUAAUGGUUUUCGGAAGGAGCUGGCGACGGCCCUCGCUUUGGGAUGAGCCUGCGUCUCAUUAGGUAGUUGGUGGGGUAACGGCUCACCAAGCCUUUGAUGAGUAGCUGGUCUGAGAGGAUGAUCAGCCACACUGGAACUGAAACACGGUCCAG